CAGUUCGGACUGGAGUCUGCAACCCGACUCCACGAAGCUGGAUUCGCUAGUAAUCGCGCAUCAGCCACGGCGCGGUGAAUACCGUUCCCGGGCCUUGUACACACCGCCCGUCAAGCCAUGGGAGCCGGGGGUACCUGAAGUGCGUAACCGCGAGGAGCGCCCUAGGGUAAAACUGGUGACUGGGGCUAAGUCGUAACAAGGUACC
RNAcentral lists this ribosomal RNA (205 nucleotides) under uncultured bacterium. Its description in RNAcentral is "partial 16S ribosomal RNA". It matches the Rfam family "Bacterial small subunit ribosomal RNA", at positions 1289 to 1500 of the family's 1533-position model. The record is from RNAcentral.